Mycena latifolia is the source of this 97-nucleotide non-coding RNA. The record is from the annotation of a GenBank genome assembly. NCBI's taxonomy places the organism in Eukaryota, Fungi, Basidiomycota, Agaricomycetes, Agaricales, Mycenaceae.
GGCUUGUUGGCGUAAUGGUAACGCGUUCUGUGUUCCUAUAUGGAGUGUUCGCAUAUCGUUCAAUGGAAAGUCCGGAGUUCGAUUCUCCGUCAAGCCA